This 86-nucleotide transfer RNA is filed under the name Methylomirabilis sp. (SeqCode). RNAcentral describes it as "tRNA-Ser". It matches the Rfam family "tRNA". Rfam says of the family: Transfer RNA (tRNA) molecules are approximately 80 nucleotides in length. Their secondary structure includes four short double-helical elements and three loops (D, anti-codon, and T loops). RNAcentral also lists the same sequence under 3 other names. Lineage: Bacteria; Methylomirabilota (SeqCode); Methylomirabilia (SeqCode); Methylomirabilales (SeqCode); Methylomirabilaceae (SeqCode). The record is from RNAcentral.
GGAGGGGUGGCCGAGUGGUUGAAGGCGGCGGUCUUGAAAACCGCUAGGCGCAAGCCUCGAGGGUUCGAAUCCUUCCCCCUCCGCCA